This 581-nucleotide ribosomal RNA is filed under the name Lactobacillus sp. NCIM 2902. RNAcentral describes it as "bacterial SSU rRNA". It matches the Rfam family "Bacterial small subunit ribosomal RNA", at positions 218 to 786 of the family's 1533-position model. The record is from RNAcentral. Lineage: Bacteria; Bacillati; Bacillota; Bacilli; Lactobacillales; Lactobacillaceae.
CUUUUGGAUGGUCCACGCGGCGUAUUAGCCUAGAUGGUGGGGUAACGGCUCACCAUGGCAAUGAUACGUAGCCGACCUGAGAGGGUAAUCGGCCACAUUGGGACUGAAGACACGGCCCAAACUCCUACGGGAGGCAGCAGUAGGGAAUCUUCCACAAUGGACGAAAGUCUGAUGGAGCAACGCCGCGUGAGUGAAGAAGGGUUUCGGCUCGUAAAACUCUGUUGUUAAAGAAGAACAUAUCUGAGAGUAACUGUUCAGGUAUUGACGGUAUUUAACCAGAAAGCCACGGCUAACUACGUGCCAGCAGCCGCGGUAAUACGUAGGUGGCAAGCGUUGUCCGGAUUUAUUGGGCGUAAAGCGAGCGCAGGCGGUUUUUUAAGUCUGAUGUGAAAGCCUUCGGCUCAACCGAAGAAGUGCAUCGGAAACUGGGAAACUUGAGUGCAGAAGAGGACAGUGGAACUCCAUGUGUAGCGGUGAAAUGCGUAGAUAUAUGGAAGAACACCAGUGGCGAAGGCGGCUGUGUGGUCUGUAACUGACGCUGAGGCUCGAAAGUACCGGUUUAGCGAACAGGAUUAGAUACC